UUGGAAGUAAAAGUCGUAACAAGGUUUCCAUAGGCGAACCUACGGAAGGAUCAUUA
RNAcentral lists this ribosomal RNA (56 nucleotides) under Mammillaria longimamma. RNAcentral describes it as "partial 18S ribosomal RNA". It matches the Rfam family "Eukaryotic small subunit ribosomal RNA", at positions 1776 to 1831 of the family's 1831-position model. The record is from RNAcentral. Lineage: Eukaryota; Viridiplantae; Streptophyta; Magnoliopsida; Caryophyllales; Cactaceae.